GCUCUUGGCUGGAAGUUUGGGCAAUUUUCAAAGCUUCGUAACUUAAUCGUUUCUUAACCAAAUUUGACCCAUAAUUUAUCAAAACGAAGAUAGAAAAGUGUAGAAUAAGAUUGUAUCUAUUUCGAAGCCCAAUGGUUGCCGGAGAUUGCCGGAAAUAGCCUCAAAGUUGAAUGGUCCGAGUGAAAACUUGAAAACUCGCCUGAAACUGGGUAAACUUUAAACGUUCAUAACUUCUUCAAUAGUCAACGAAAUCAAGUGAUU
Molecule: long non-coding RNA, 261 nt
Filed under: Malus domestica (apple)
Lineage: Eukaryota; Viridiplantae; Streptophyta; Magnoliopsida; Rosales; Rosaceae
Description: long non-coding RNA (MDOM_LNC012860)
Source: RNAcentral